AUGGGGAAGGAUGAGAAGCUUCGACUAAGGUUCGAUUCGAGCGAAGCGAGAGAACGUUGCCGCAGGCAACGGCCCGAAGGGCGAGGCGCUUUAGCGCCGAGUAAUCCUUCCCCCACCACCA
This 121-nucleotide small RNA is filed under the name Klebsiella pneumoniae subsp. pneumoniae. RNAcentral describes it as "RtT sRNA". It matches the Rfam family "RtT RNA". Rfam says of the family: This family represents a bacterial cis-regulatory element known as RtT RNA. The exact function of RtT is unknown although it is thought that it may be involved in changing the cellular response in relation to amino acid starvation. The record is from RNAcentral. Lineage: Bacteria; Pseudomonadati; Pseudomonadota; Gammaproteobacteria; Enterobacterales; Enterobacteriaceae.